AUUAUAACUAGGCAACCGAUGCGGAUCUUGGUUCAUUUGGCCAAGUCACUUACGAGCUGAGAGGCAGUCAGUCUUCAUUUUUUGCUGUCGAUCCUAAUACUGGUAACAUCACAGCAGCAAGAACCCUUGACUAUGAAGAAGUCCACAGCUACCAGUUUUAUGUGAUCGCUAGUGAUGGUGGUGGAAUAUUCAAGGAAGAAGCAACUGCUACAAUAAAUGUUGCUUUACGGGAUGUCAAUGRCAACGAMCCAGUCUUCACUGGAACGCCAUACACAAGCAAGAUCAAAGAAAAUGUAGGCGCYGGCGUCAUUGCAAUUAAGGUGACCGUCAGCGACAAAGAUAACGACAACAAUGGAAGAGUUUCCUUGAGCAUUACAUCUGGUAACAUCGAUAACGCUUUUGCUAUCAAUGCAACUGGAUUCAUCACGACAACCAAAUCACUGGACAGAGAAGCCACAGCCUCGUAUACGUUAACGGUAC
Molecule: long non-coding RNA, 480 nt
Organism: Actinia tenebrosa (Australian red waratah sea anemone)
Lineage: Eukaryota; Metazoa; Cnidaria; Anthozoa; Actiniaria; Actiniidae
Source: RefSeq, a predicted model, not a curated record